GUGACCUCAAAUCAGGUAGGACUACCCGCUGAACUUAA
This 38-nucleotide ribosomal RNA is filed under the name Cortinarius vanduzerensis. RNAcentral's name for it is "partial 25S ribosomal RNA". Lineage: Eukaryota; Fungi; Basidiomycota; Agaricomycetes; Agaricales; Cortinariaceae. The record is from RNAcentral. RNAcentral also lists the same sequence under 22 other names.